Molecule: long non-coding RNA, 285 nt
Filed under: Lathyrus oleraceus (garden pea)
Lineage: Eukaryota; Viridiplantae; Streptophyta; Magnoliopsida; Fabales; Fabaceae
Description: Pisum sativum (pea) long non-coding RNA (PSAT_LNC019923)
Source: RNAcentral
AAUUUUUAAAAGUAAUAAUAGCAUACACAUAUACAUAUUUAAAAACCAUAUUAAAAAAAAUGACACAAAUAAAUAAUUUUAAUGACUCAAAACAAAUUAAUUUAACUAGAUAAAAAAAAUCUAAAAUUUGUUAAGAUUAAUUUGAUAAAAAAAACAAAAAAAAUGGAUGAAAAUGAAUUGAGAAAUCGGGUGAAAAAAAUGAUUGAAAAAUUAAAAUGAAUGCGUUAUAAUGACCGCCGCGAAAUAAACUUCUCGGAAACAUACAAGUUUGGAUCAAAUUUUGAG